RNAcentral lists this non-coding RNA (359 nucleotides) under Streptomyces afghaniensis 772. Its description in RNAcentral is "Bacterial large subunit ribosomal RNA". It matches the Rfam family "Bacterial large subunit ribosomal RNA", at positions 527 to 874 of the family's 2925-position model. Lineage: Bacteria; Bacillati; Actinomycetota; Actinomycetes; Kitasatosporales; Streptomycetaceae. The record is from Rfam by way of RNAcentral.
CGGGAGCGGAGUGAAAUAGUACCUGAAACCGUGUGCCUCAAGCCUGGGAGCGUCGGAUGGAAGCUUGCUUCCAUCUCGUGACUGCGUGCCUUUUGAAGAAUGAGCCUGCGAGUUUGCGGUGUGUUGCGAGGUUAACCCGGGUGGGGAAGCCGUAGCGAAAGCGAGUCCGAAUAGGGCGUUUCAGUAGCACGCUCAAGACCCGAAGCGGAGUGAUCUAGCCAUGGGCAGGUUGAAGCGGAGGUAAGACUUCGUGGAGGACCGAACCCACCAGGGUUGAAAACCUGGGGGAUGACCUGUGGUUAGGGGUGAAAGGCCAAUCAAACUCCGUGAUAGCUGGUUCUCCCCGAAAUGCAUUUAGG